Molecule: ribosomal RNA, 1059 nt
Filed under: Vibrio metschnikovii
Lineage: Bacteria; Pseudomonadati; Pseudomonadota; Gammaproteobacteria; Vibrionales; Vibrionaceae
Description: bacterial SSU rRNA
Rfam family: Bacterial small subunit ribosomal RNA
Source: RNAcentral
CAGGAAGAAAGCUUGCUUUCUUUGCUGACGAGCGGCGGACGGGUGAGUAAUGCCUGGGAAAUUGCCCUGAUGUGGGGGAUAACCAUUGGAAACGAUGGCUAAUACCGCAUGAUGCCUACGGGCCAAAGAGGGGGACCUUCGGGCCUCUCGCGUCAGGAUAUGCCCAGGUGGGAUUAGCUAGUUGGUGAGGUAAUGGCUCACCAAGGCGACGAUCCCUAGCUGGUCUGAGAGGAUGAUCAGCCACACUGGAACUGAGACACGGUCCAGACUCCUACGGGAGGCAGCAGUGGGGAAUAUUGCACAAUGGGCGCAAGCCUGAUGCAGCCAUGCCGCGUGUAUGAAGAAGGCCUUCGGGUUGUAAAGUACUUUCAGUCGUGAGGAAGGGGGUAUCGUUAAUAGCGGUAUUCUUUGACGUUAGCGACAGAAGAAGCACCGGCUAACUCCGUGCCAGCAGCCGCGGUAAUACGGAGGGUGCGAGCGUUAAUCGGAAUUACUGGGCGUAAAGCGCAUGCAGGUGGUUUGUUAAGUCAGAUGUGAAAGCCCGGGGCUCAACCUCGGAGUUGCAUUUGAAACUGGCAGGCUAGAGUACUGUAGAGGGGGGUAGAAUUUCAGGUGUAGCGGUGAAAUGCGUAGAGAUCUGAAGGAAUACCGGUGGCGAAGGCGGCCCCCUGGACAGAUACUGACACUCAGAUGCGAAAGCGUGGGGAGCAAACAGGAUUAGAUACCCUGGUAGUCCACGCUGUAAACGAUGUCUACUUGGAGGUUGUGGCCUUGAGCCGUGGCUUUCGGAGCUAACGCGUUAAGUAGACCGCCUGGGGAGUACGGUCGCAAGAUUAAAACUCAAAUGAAUUGACGGGGGCCCGCACAAGCGGUGGAGCAUGUGGUUUAAUUCGAUGCAACGCGAAGAACCUUACCUACUCUUGACAUCUACAGGAUCCUGCGGAGACGCGGGAGUGCCUUCGGGAACUGUAAGACAGGUGCUGCAUGGCUGUCGUCAGCUCGUGUUGUGAAAUGUUGGGUUAAGUCCCGCAACGAGCGCAACCCUUAUCCUUGUUUGCC